UACGUAGGGGGCAAGCGUUGUCCGGAUUUAUUGGGCGUAAAGAGCGUGUAGGCGGCCAGGUAGGUCGGUUGUGAAAACUGGAGGCUUAACCUCCAGACGUCGACCGAAACCAUCUGGCUAGAGUCCGGAAGAGGAGAGUGGAAUUCCUGGUGUAGCGGUGAAAUGCGCAGAUAUCAGGAAGAACACCCGUGGCUAAGGCGGCUGCCUGGCCCAAUACUGACACUCAGGUGCGACAGCGUGGGGAGCAAACAGG
Molecule: ribosomal RNA, 253 nt
Filed under: uncultured bacterium
Lineage: Bacteria
Description: partial 16S ribosomal RNA
Rfam family: Bacterial small subunit ribosomal RNA
Source: RNAcentral